RNAcentral lists this small RNA (82 nucleotides) under uncultured Enterobacter sp. Its description in RNAcentral is "CyaR/Rye RNA". It matches the Rfam family "CyaR/Rye RNA". From Rfam's summary of the family: This sRNA was originally identified in a large scale screen of E. coli. It was shown to bind Hfq and called RyeE. The record is from RNAcentral. Lineage: Bacteria; Pseudomonadati; Pseudomonadota; Gammaproteobacteria; Enterobacterales; Enterobacteriaceae.
GCUGAAAAACAUAACCCAUAAAUGCGAGUUGUACCAGGAACCACCUCCUUAGCCUGCGUAUCUCCCUUACGCAGGCUUAUUU